UAGAAUAUACAACAGCUUGUAUAAAAACUGAAUAUUAAUUAUUAGAUUGGUUCUUACUAGCUCUGGUUAAACGAUUUUGGUCUGUAGCAUUUGUAAUUUGAAUUACUUUUACCAGGAAGAGCUGAGGUGCUCAUUGUCUGCAGGAUACUUUUAGACCAUCAGUCCCAUCUUCCAUUGACCCUUGAUUCACUUGGCAGUGAUAGCAGAAAACCAAAAGCAAUUGGUUUCUUAAGAAAAAGCCCUCCUCUUGUGAGGUAAAAUGUUUAGGAUUGUACUUGUAUUUUGUUAUCAAAUCAACAUGAAGUUUAUUUUUAAUUUUUAAAAAUUUAAGCCUUUUUUUGAUCCCAGAAAGAUUAUUCUGUUGGAGAUUUGUAACAAGUUGAUAACCAUAAAAAUAGGUAAUAAUGAACCUUCAAUGGUAUCCAUGUGUCAGAAUUUAAUACAUAUUAUUUUUCUUAGCCUUAUAAUGGUAUUACAGUUGUUUGGCAGAUUGAGCACCUGAGGUUCAUUCAGUCUCAGUAACUUGUCCAGGGUUAUGCAUCCAGGUAGUAUUAGGAGAAGAUUUGAAAUCAAGUGUAUUUUAUUCCAGAGUAUCCACUCUCUUAGUUUAUGUUUGUAUGAAUGUGUGCUAAUACUACAGAACAGUAGAGUUUGGGAUAAAUAUUGUUUAUUGGUACAUGGGGGAGGCAAGUAGAAUUCCACUGAUUACUAAAAAUUAUAAUGUGAUCGAAUUUUAGCAACAUCAGGAAGUUGAGGGGAGCUUAAACACUUAAUCAGCUUAUUCUAGUAGAAGGCACUCAGGUAAGCCUAUGAUCCUAUCCCAUUGUCCCCCCUCCCCCCCAAAGAAAGUUAAUUUUCUUCAAAUGUGUUUGAGAAAAAAGAAUCAUAUAUAAACUAUUAUUUUUACUCUUGCCCGUGUUUACUUUUAGUGCUUUCAUUCAUUCAAAAACAUUUAUUGAUGAAAUGAACUCCACAAUGAACUAUGGACCUCACUAGGUGUUAGAGAAAAGUAGUAAAGUCCCUGGCUUUUUAAGAGUUCAUAAUCUUGGGAAGACAGAAACAGGCAGUUACGGUUGAGUGUAAAAAGGUAUAUAAAUAGGGCUGGGGUUGUGGCUCAGUGGCAGGAGCACUUGCUUAGCAUGUGUGAGGCACUAGGUUCGAUCCUCAGUAUUGCAUAUAAAAUAAAGUAACGGUCCAUUGACAACUAAAAAAGUAAUUUUAAAAAAGGUAUUUAAACAGAUGUACGAGUAUUUUGGAAGAGCUAAUGGAGGAAAGGUGGAACAUUUUUGGUACACUGGAGUGAGAGAAAUGCUACAAAAUUUUUUAAACUACAGUUCUUUGGAAGUUCAGUUGAAGAUGUGGCUAAAUUUAUUUCAUCUCUAUUCUUAUCAAUAUCUCUCCUUCCUAUAUUACUUUGAAGUAAAUUUCACAUCAUUUCUUUCAUAAAUAUUUCAGUAUUUAUUUCUCAAAGACAAGGACUUUUUGAAAAAACCAUACCAUUAUCACAACUUUAAAAAAUAAAUAAUUUGGGAUGAACUCAAUUUGAAGGAUGAAUAAAAUGUUCAGUAGGUGGCUGAGGAAAGAGGAAAGGCAGGGAGAUGUGAAAAUGUUCAGAGACUUAUUCUUUGGGGUGCAAAUAAUGCCUGUGGUGAGAAAUAAAAUUGGCAAAAUGGGCAAGGCCCAAAACAUAAAAGCCCUUGAAUAUAUUCCGUGUGAAGACUUAUUAAACGGUUUUAAGCAGGUUACUAAUAACAUGUUUAGAUUUAUAGUUUAAGAAAGUAAUGGCAAUGUUGAAAUGAGAAACACAAGCACAUUUGGGGACUUGGGGUUGUAGCUCAGUGGUAGAGCGCUUGCCUUGCACCUAUGAGGCACUGGGUUCAAUCUCAGCACUACAUAAAAAUAAAGUAAAAUGAAGGUAUUUUAAAAAAAGAGUACAUUUGGGGAGGUUAUUUAGUCCAGUUAAGGAACAGAUGAUAAU
This 1978-nucleotide long non-coding RNA is filed under the name Marmota monax (woodchuck). The stretch from base 1825 to 1886 matches the Rfam family "tRNA". Lineage: Eukaryota; Metazoa; Chordata; Mammalia; Rodentia; Sciuridae. The record is from RNAcentral.